AGCGAACGCUGGCGGCAUGCCUAACACAUGCAAGUCGAACGAACUCUUCGGAGUUAGUGGCGGACGGGUGAGUAACACGUGGGAACGUGCCUUUUGGUUCGGAAUAACUCAGGGAAACUUGUGCUAAUACCGAAUGUGCCCUUCGGGGGAAAGAUUUAUCGCCAUUAGAGCGGCCCGCGUCUGAUUAGCUAGUUGGUGAGGUAACGGCUCACCAAGGCGACGAUCAGUAGCUGGUCUGAGAGGAUGACCAGCCACACUGGGACUGAGACACGGCCCAGACUCCUACGGGAGGCAGCAGUGGGGAAUCUUGCGCAAUGGGCGAAAGCCUGACGCAGCCAUGCCGCGUGAAUGAUGAAGGUCUUAGGAUUGUAAAAUUCUUUCACCGGGGACGAUAAUGACGGUACCCGGAGAAGAAGCCCCGGCUAACUUCGUG
This 433-nucleotide ribosomal RNA is filed under the name uncultured bacterium. RNAcentral's name for it is "partial 16S ribosomal RNA". It matches the Rfam family "Bacterial small subunit ribosomal RNA", at positions 29 to 507 of the family's 1533-position model. The record is from RNAcentral.